UAGGGAAUAUUGCACAAUGGGCGAAAGCCUGAUGCAGCAACGCCGCGUGCACGAUGAAGGCCUUCGGGUCGUAAAGUGCUUUUCUGAGGGACGAGAAAGGACGGUACCUCAGGAAUAAGGUUCGGCUAACUACGUGCCAGCAGCCGCGGUAAAACGUAGGAACCGAGCGUUAUCCGAAUUUACUGGGCGUAAAGCGCGUGCAGGCGGUUUGGUAAGUUAGAUGUGAAAGCUCCUGGCUUAACUAGGAGAGGACGUUUAAAACUGCCAGGCUAGAGGACGGUAGAGGGGGGUGGAAUUCCCGGUGUAGUGGUGAAAUGCGUAGAUAUCGGGAGGAACACCUGUGGCGAAGGCGGCCCCCUGGGCCGUACCUGACGCUGAUACGCGAAAGCUAGGGGAGCAAACGGG
RNAcentral lists this ribosomal RNA (405 nucleotides) under uncultured bacterium. Its description in RNAcentral is "bacterial SSU rRNA". It matches the Rfam family "Bacterial small subunit ribosomal RNA", at positions 355 to 776 of the family's 1533-position model. The record is from RNAcentral.